CCUACGGGUGGCUGCAGUGGGGAAUAUUGCACAAUGGGGGAAACCCUGAUGCAGCAACGCCGCGUGAGUGAAGAAGGUCUUCGGAUUGUAAAGCUCUGUUAGCCGGGGUGAGGAAGCACGAUACCUGCAGAGGAAGCCACGGCUAACUACUGGCCAGCAGCCCCGGUAAGCCGUAGGCGGCAAGCGUUGUGCGGUAUAACUGGGCGUAAAGGAUGCGUGGGCGGUUAAACAUGUUUUAUGUUAAAUAUAUAGGCCUAACCUGGAGAAAGCAUAGAGAACUGUUUAACUAGGGUGCAGGAGGGGUAAGUGGAAUUCCUGGUGUAGCGGUGGAAUGCGUAGAGAUUAGGAAGAACACCAGUGGCGAAGGCGAGUUACUGGACUGUAACUGACGCUGAGGCAUGAGAGCAUGGGGAGCAAACAGGAUUAGAUACCCGAGUAGUC
Molecule: ribosomal RNA, 441 nt
Filed under: uncultured bacterium
Lineage: Bacteria
Description: partial 16S ribosomal RNA
Rfam family: Bacterial small subunit ribosomal RNA
Source: RNAcentral